RNAcentral lists this ribosomal RNA (451 nucleotides) under uncultured bacterium. RNAcentral describes it as "partial 16S ribosomal RNA". It matches the Rfam family "Bacterial small subunit ribosomal RNA", at positions 28 to 507 of the family's 1533-position model. The record is from RNAcentral.
GAUGAACGCUGGCGGCGUGCCUAACACAUGCAAGUCGAGCGGCAGCGAGGGGUGCUUGCACCCUGUCGGCGAGCGGCGGACGGCUGAGUAACGCGUGGGAACGUGCCCCAAAGUGAGGAAUAACUGCCCGAAAGGGUAGCUAAUACCGCAUAUUAUCUUCGGAUCAAAGGAUUUAUCCGCUUUGGGAGCGGCUCGCGUCGGAUUAGGUAGUUGGUGAGGUAAUGGCUCACCAAGCCGACGAUCCGUAGCUGGUCUGAGGGGAUGACCAGCCAGACUGGAACUGAGACACGGUCCAGACUCCUACGGGAGGCAGCAGUGAGGAAUCUUCCACAAUGGGCGAAAGCCUGAUGGAGCAACGCCGCGUGCAGGACGAAGGCCUUCGGGUUGUAAACUGCUUUUAUAAGUGAGGAAUAUGACGGUAACUUAUGAAUAAGAAUCGGCUAACUACGUG